Molecule: ribosomal RNA, 506 nt
Filed under: uncultured bacterium
Lineage: Bacteria
Description: partial 16S ribosomal RNA
Rfam family: Bacterial small subunit ribosomal RNA
Source: RNAcentral
AGUGAACGCUGGCGGUAGGCCUAACACAUGCAAGUCGAACGGCAGCACAGGAAAGCUUGCUCUCUGGGUGGCGAGUGGCGGACGGGUGAGGAAUACAUCGGAAUCUACUCUGUCGUGGGGGAUAACGUAGGGAAACUUACGCUAAUACCGCAUACGACCUACGGGUGAAAGCAGGGGAUCUUCGGCCCUUGCGUUAAUGGAGCGGCCGAUAUCUGAUUAGCUAGUUGGUGAGGUAAAGGCUCACCAAGGCUUCGACCAGUAGGUGGGCUGAGGGGAAGCACAGCCACACUGGAACUGAGACACGGGCCAGACUUCUACGGGAGGCAGCAGUGGGGAAUUUUGGAAAAUGGGGGCAACCCUGAACCAACCAUUCCGCGUGGGUGAAGAAGGCCUUCGGGUUGUAAAGCUCUUUCGCAAGGGAAGAAACGAUACAGUCGAAUAAACUGUGUUAAUGACGGUACCUUGAUAAGAAGCACCGGCUAACUACGUGCCAGCCGCCGCCGUAA